AUUGAACGCUGGCGGCAUGCUUUACACAUGCAAGUCGAACGGUAACAGGCCUUCGGGUGCUGACGAGUGGCGAACGGGUGGGUAAUGCAUCGGAACGUACCCAGAGGUGGGGGAUAACGCAGCGAAAGCUGUGCUAAUACCGCAUGUGAGCUGAGGAUGAAAGCGGGGGACCGAGCAGCAAUGUUUGGCCUCGCGCCUUUGGAGCGGCCGAUGUCGGAUUAGCUAGUUGGUGGGGUAAAGGCCUACCAAGGCGACGAUCCGUAGCUGGUCUGAGAGGACGACCAGCCACACUGGGACUGAGACACGGCCCAGACUCCUACGGGAGGCAGCAGUGGGGAAUUUUGGACAAUGGGCGCAAGCCUGAUCCAGCAAUGCCGCGUGCGGGAAGAAGGCCUUCGGGUUGUAAACCGCUUUUGGCAGGAACGAAACGGUGUCCGCUAAUACCGGGCGCUAAUGACGGUACCUGCAGAAUAAGCACCGGCUAACUACGUG
Molecule: ribosomal RNA, 492 nt
Filed under: uncultured bacterium
Lineage: Bacteria
Description: partial 16S ribosomal RNA
Rfam family: Bacterial small subunit ribosomal RNA
Source: RNAcentral